This 449-nucleotide ribosomal RNA is filed under the name Variovorax sp. 3P-3. RNAcentral describes it as "bacterial SSU rRNA". It matches the Rfam family "Bacterial small subunit ribosomal RNA", at positions 82 to 528 of the family's 1533-position model. Lineage: Bacteria; Pseudomonadati; Pseudomonadota; Betaproteobacteria; Burkholderiales; Comamonadaceae. The record is from RNAcentral.
AUCCUGGCGGCGAGUGGCGAACGGGUGAGUAAUACAUCGGAACGUGCCCAAUCGUGGGGGAUAACGCAGCGAAACGUGUGCUAAUACCGCAUACGAUCUACGGAUGAAAGCAGGGGAUCGCAAGACCUUGCGCGAAUGGAGCGGCCGAUGGCAGAUUAGGUAGUUGGUGAGGUAAAGGCUCACCAAGCCUUCGAUCUGUAGCUGGUCUGAGAGGACGACCAGCCACACUGGGACUGAGACACGGCCCAGACUCCUACGGGAGGCAGCAGUGGGGAAUUUUGGACAAUGGGCGAAAGCUGAUCCAGCCAUGCCGCGUGCAGGAUGAAGGCCUUCGGGUUGUAAACUGCUUUUGUACGGAACGAAACGGCCUUUUCUAAUAAAGAGGGCUAAUGACGGUACCGUAAGAAUAAGCACCGGCUAACUACGUGCCAGCAGCCGCGGUAAUACAG